RNAcentral lists this unclassified non-coding RNA (26 nucleotides) under Mus musculus (house mouse). Its description in RNAcentral is "oocyte_clustered_small_RNA11723". The record is from RNAcentral. Lineage: Eukaryota; Metazoa; Chordata; Mammalia; Rodentia; Muridae.
UGGAAGAGGCGGCUGUCGGCUUGGUG